This 170-nucleotide ribosomal RNA is filed under the name Eviota korechika (Korechika's dwarfoby). Its description in RNAcentral is "partial 12S rRNA". Lineage: Eukaryota; Metazoa; Chordata; Actinopteri; Gobiiformes; Gobiidae. The record is from RNAcentral.
CACCGCGGUUAUACGGGGGACCCAAGUUGAUAGAACUCGGCGUAAAGGGUGGUUAAUUAAAGAUUUCACUAAAGCUAAACUACCCCCAAAGCAGUGAUAUGCUCACGAGGACAGGAGACUCAUCGACGAAAGUAGCUUUAAGUACAUAUGACCCCACGAAAGCUAGGGAA